UCCGUUUUUCUUCAAUUCUUCUUCUUCGGUCUUGAUUUGAAUUUUGGUUCUGAAUGUAUUUGUUGAUGGAUCUGUAAUUAGUAAUUACCCAGGUUCUGAAUGUAUUUGUUGAUGGAUCUGUAAUUGCCCAGGUUCUGAAUCUAUUUGUUGAUGGAGC
Molecule: non-coding RNA, 157 nt
Organism: Arachis ipaensis
Lineage: Eukaryota; Viridiplantae; Streptophyta; Magnoliopsida; Fabales; Fabaceae
Source: RefSeq, a predicted model, not a curated record